CAGAGUUUCAAGUCCUUGGUCAGAGCAUGGAUUUCUUUGGAAACCUGUCACAAUGGCAUGAAAAGAGGAUGAUUUUGAAAAAUGGGACAGCCCACGAGUUACAGUAUACUGGACAGGACGGUAACCCUGCUUGCAGGUUGUUUGUCUGUCACGUAUUGUUUUCCAAACACUGCGCUGUCCGGAUCUCUCUCAAUCUCCCUGUGGCGUAUUGAAGUGGAUGUGCCAUGCCUCAACUUGUUCAGCGAGAGGCAGCAAUUUAUUACCGCCAAUCCUUUUUCCUCAACCGUUCACUAAAAACCUUCAUUUUGCUGUUGUGGAGCUCUGAGGGUGCAUCUCUUACUCAAGUUUAUUGAAGAGAGGGGACGUCAGAGCCUUGGGGCCAUAUGAUGGAUAAAUAAAAUCAAUGUAUCAAAGGUUGUUCCGUCAAAAGCUUGGCCUGUUGUUCUUGAACAUUUUAAAUUGGUUUUAUUUGGCAUUGUUAGAUGCUUUCUGUGGAAACCUUGGGUUGCCACCUGCCGUCUGUAAAUUGUUUGCUAAUCAGCAGAAUUGGUGUAAUGGGAGUUUAUCGCGUUAAUUUUACUUGACGUGUAUGCAAACAUCACCAU
Molecule: non-coding RNA, 605 nt
Organism: Misgurnus anguillicaudatus (oriental weatherfish)
Lineage: Eukaryota; Metazoa; Chordata; Actinopteri; Cypriniformes; Cobitidae
Source: RefSeq, a predicted model, not a curated record